CCUACGGGCGGCAGCAGUGGGGAAUAUUGCUCAAUGGGGGAAACCCUGAAGCAGCAACGCCGCGUGAAGGAAGAAGGUUUUCGGAUUGUAAACUUCUUUUGUUAGAGAAGAAAAUGACGGUACCUAACGAAUAAGCACCGGCUAACUACGUGCCAGCAGCCGCGGUAAUACGGAGGGUGCAAGCGUUACCCGGAAUCACUGGGCGUAAAGGGCGCGUAGGCGGGAUAGCAAGUCAGAUGUGAAAUCCUUCGGCUUAACCAUAGAACUGCAUUUGAAACUGUUAGUCUAGAGUGUGGGAGAGGUAGGUGGAAUUCUUGGUGUAGCGGUGAAAUGCGUAGAGAUCAAGAAGAACACUGAUUGCGAAGGCGACCUACUAGAACAUAACUGACGCUGAAGCGCGAAAGCGUGGGGAGCAAACAGGAUUAGAUACCCGAGUAGUC
This 440-nucleotide ribosomal RNA is filed under the name uncultured bacterium. Its description in RNAcentral is "partial 16S ribosomal RNA". It matches the Rfam family "Bacterial small subunit ribosomal RNA", at positions 338 to 795 of the family's 1533-position model. The record is from RNAcentral.